GACGAACGCUGGCGGCGUGCCUAAUACAUGCAAGUAGAACGCACAGUUUAUACCGUAGCUUGCUACACCAUAGACUGUGAGUUGCGAACGGGUGAGUAACGCGUAGGUAACCUGCCUGGUAGCGGGGGAUAACUAUUGGAAACGAUAGCUAAUACCGCAUAAUAUUAAUUAUUGCAUGCUAAUUAAUUGAAAGGUGCAAUUGCACCACUACCAGAUGGACCUGCGUUGUAUUAGCUAGUAGGUGAGGUAACGGCUCACCUAGGCGACGAUACAUAGCCGAGCUGAGAGGGUGAUCGGCCACACUGGGACUGAGACACGGCCCAGACUCCUACGGGAAGCAGCAGUAGGGGAUCUUCGGCAAUGGACGAAAGUCUGACCGAGCAACGCCGCGUGAGUGAAGAAGGGUGUCGGAUCGGAAAGCUCUGUUGUAAGAGAAGAACGGGUGUGAGAGUGGAAAGUUCACACUGUGACGGUAUCUGACCAAAAAGAGACGGCUAACUACGUG
Molecule: ribosomal RNA, 505 nt
Filed under: uncultured bacterium
Lineage: Bacteria
Description: partial 16S ribosomal RNA
Rfam family: Bacterial small subunit ribosomal RNA
Source: RNAcentral